Molecule: transfer RNA, 70 nt
Filed under: Microtermes obesi
Lineage: Eukaryota; Metazoa; Arthropoda; Insecta; Blattodea; Termitidae
Also listed under: 2 other names
Description: tRNA-Cys
Source: RNAcentral
GGCCUUGUAUUCAUUUUUGUGAUUGUAGAAUGCAAUUCUAUAGGGGUGAUUGAUUAAUUUACCAAGGCCU